GCCAGCAUGGCUUAGUGGUUUGAGCACUGGCCUAUGACUCUGAGGACCAGAGUUCGAUUCCCAGCUCAGCCA
Non-coding RNA from Phrynosoma platyrhinos (Desert horned lizard), 72 nucleotides. The record is from the annotation of a GenBank genome assembly. Lineage: Eukaryota; Metazoa; Chordata; Lepidosauria; Squamata; Phrynosomatidae.